Molecule: ribosomal RNA, 440 nt
Filed under: Penaeus monodon (black tiger shrimp)
Lineage: Eukaryota; Metazoa; Arthropoda; Malacostraca; Decapoda; Penaeidae
Description: partial 16S ribosomal RNA
Rfam family: Bacterial large subunit ribosomal RNA
Source: RNAcentral
UAUUUUUAAAGGGCCGCGGUAUACUGACCGUGCGAAGGUAGCAUAAUCAUUAGUCUUUUAAUUGAAGGCUCGUAUGAAUGGUUGGACAAAAAGUAAUCUGUCUCAGUUAUAAUAGUUGAACUUAACUUUUAAGUGAAAAGGCUUAAAUACUUUAAGGGGACGAUAAGACCCUAUAAAACUUAACAAUAAUCUGAUUAAAUUAUAAAUUGUUAGUAUAACUUGAUUUUAAUUAAUGUUUGUUGCGUUGGGGCGACGGGAAUAUAAUUAGUAACUGUUCUUAAAUAUUUUAUUAACAAGUAUAAUUGAAGAAUAAUUGAUCCUUUAUUAAAGAUUAAAAGAUUAAGUUACUUUAGGGAUAACAGCGUAAUCUUCUUUGAGAGUCCUCAUCGACAAGAAGGUUUGCGACCUCGAUGUUGAAUUAAGGUAUCCUUAUAAUGCAG